RNAcentral lists this transfer RNA (74 nucleotides) under Magnetovibrio blakemorei. RNAcentral's name for it is "tRNA-Cys". It matches the Rfam family "tRNA". From Rfam's summary of the family: Transfer RNA (tRNA) molecules are approximately 80 nucleotides in length. Their secondary structure includes four short double-helical elements and three loops (D, anti-codon, and T loops). The record is from RNAcentral. Lineage: Bacteria; Pseudomonadati; Pseudomonadota; Alphaproteobacteria; Rhodospirillales; Magnetovibrionaceae. RNAcentral also lists the same sequence under 4 other names.
GGCGCGGUGGCGGAGUGGCUACGCAGCGGCCUGCAAAGCCGUGUACACCGGUUCAAAUCCGGUCCGCGCCUCCA